AGAGCGAACGCUGGCGGCAGGCCUAACACAUGCAAGUCGAGCGCCCGUAGCAAUACGGGAGCGGCAGACGGGAUAGUAACACGUGGGAACGCGCCCUUCGGUUCGGAAUAACUCAGGGAAACUUGAGCUAAUACCGGAUACGCCCUUACGGGGAAAGAUUUAUUGCCGAAGGAACGGCCCGCGUCCGAUUAGCUAGUUGGUGAGGUAAUGGCUCACCAAGGCGACGAUCGGUAGCUGGUCUGAGAGGAUGACCAGCAUCACUGGGACUGAGACACGGCCCAGACUCCUACGGGAGGCAGCAGUGGGGAAUAUUGGACAAUGGGCGCAAGCCUGAUCCAGCCAUGCCGCGUGGAUGAUGAGGCCUUAGGGUUGUAAAGUCCUUUAACGGGAGAUAAUGACGGUACCGUAGAAUAAGCCCGGCUAACUCGUGCCAGCAGCCGC
Molecule: ribosomal RNA, 441 nt
Filed under: uncultured bacterium
Lineage: Bacteria
Description: SSU rRNA
Rfam family: Bacterial small subunit ribosomal RNA
Source: RNAcentral